UCCACCAGUGUUUGUUCUGGCAGCCCCUGGCACCAUAGCAGCCUUAGGAUGCCCCAGCCCAGUAGAUAAGCAGGGUCAGGCUAGACAGGGGCUUGGAUGGGAGACCAUGCAGGAGACCAGGAGCUGGAGGCU
Cebus imitator (Panamanian white-faced capuchin) is the source of this 132-nucleotide ribosomal RNA. The record is from Ensembl. Lineage: Eukaryota; Metazoa; Chordata; Mammalia; Primates; Cebidae.